Molecule: non-coding RNA, 73 nt
Organism: Potamilus streckersoni
Lineage: Eukaryota; Metazoa; Mollusca; Bivalvia; Unionida; Unionidae
Source: the annotation of a GenBank genome assembly
GCUCUGGUGGCCUAGUGGUUAGAGCAUCCGCCUCAAAUGCGGGAGGUCGUGGGUUCAAUCCCAAGCUGAGUCA